RNAcentral lists this ribosomal RNA (1493 nucleotides) under uncultured prokaryote. RNAcentral describes it as "partial 16S ribosomal RNA". It matches the Rfam family "Bacterial small subunit ribosomal RNA". The record is from RNAcentral.
AGAGUUUGAUCCUGGCUCAGAGUGAACGCUGGCGGCAGGCCUAACACAUGCAAGUCGAGCGGUAACAGAUCUAGCUUGCUAGACGCUGACGAGCGGCGGACGGGGGAGUAACGCGUCUACCCAGUAGCGGGGGAUAGCCCGGGGAAACUCGGAUUAAUACCGCAUAAUCUCUUCGGAGCAAAGCAGGGGAUCUUCGGACCUUGCGCUAUUGGAUGAGCCCGCGUCAGAUUAGCUAGUUGGUGGGGUAAAGGCCUACCAAGGCGACGAUCUGUAGCUGGCCUGAGAGGGUGGUCAGCCACACUGGAACUGAGACACGGUCCAGACUCCUACGGGAGGCAGCAGUGGGGAAUAUUGCGCAAUGGAGGAAACUCUGACGCAGCCAUGCCGCGCGUGUGAAGAAGGCCUUCGUGUUGUAAAGCACUUUAAGCGAGGAGGAAAGGUUACUGGUUAAUAACCCGUAGCUGUGACGUUACUCGUAGAAUAAGCAGCGGCUAAUUCAGUGCCAGCAGCUGCGGUCAUACUGAAGGUGCAAGCGUUAAUCGGAAUUACUGGGCGUAAAGCGCACGUAGGCGGUUCGUUAAGUUGGAUGUGAAAGCCCAGGGCUCAACCUUGGAACUGCAUCCGAUUCUGGCGAGCUAGAAUAUAGGACAGGGAGGUAGAAUUUCAGGUGUAGCGGUGAAAUGCGUAGAUAUUAGGAGGAACACCAGUGGCGAAGGCGACUGCCUGGACUCAUACUGACACUGAGGUGCGAAAGCGUGGGGAGCGAACAGGAUUAGAUACCCUGGUAGUCCACGCCGUAAACGAUGACAACUAUGUUGGAGUAAUUUGUAAUCCUUUAGUAUCGUAGCUAACGCGAUAAGUUCUCCGCCUGGGGAGUACGGCCGCAAGGUUAAAACUCAAAUGAAUUGACGGGGGCCCGCACAAGCGGUGGAGCAUGUGGUUUAAUUCGAUGCAACGCGAAGAACCUUACCUGGCCUUGACAUCCUUGGAAUUUCGCAGAAACGUGAAAGUGCCCUUCGGGAGCCAAGAGACAGGUGCUGCAUGGCUGUCGUCAGCUCGUUCGUGAGAUGUUGGGUUAAGUCCCGCAACGAGCGCAACCCCUAUCUCUAGUUGCCAGCGAUUCGGUCGGGAACUCUAGAGAGACUGCCGGUGAUAAACCGGAGGAAGGUGGGGAUGACGUCAAGUCAUCAUGGCCCUUACGGCCAGGGCUACACACGUGCUACAAUGGAUAAUACAGAGGGUUGCGAACCCGUAAGGAGUAGCUAAUCUCAGAAAAUUAUUCGUAGUCCGGAUUGGAGUCUGCAACUCGACUCCAUGAAGUCGGAAUCGCUAGUAAUCGCGAAUCAGCAUGUCGCGGUGAAUACGUUCCCGGGCCUUGUACACACCGCCCGUCACACCACGGGAGUGGGUUGUACCAGAAGUAGGUAGUCUAACCGCAAGGAGGACGCUUACCACGGUAUGGUUCAUGACUGGGGUGAAUUCGGAACAAGGUA